CUGAAGAGUUUGAUCAUGGCUCAGAUUGAACGCUGGCGGCAGGCCUAACACAUGCAAGUCGAGCGGAUGAAGGGAGCUUGCUCCUGGAUUCAGCGGCGGACGGGUGAGUAAUGCCUAGGAAUCUGCCUGGUAGUGGGGGAUAACGUCCGGAAACGGGCGCUAAUACCGCAUACGUCCUGAGGGAGAAAGUGGGGGAUCUUCGGACCUCACGCUAUCAGAUGAGCCUAGGUCGGAUUAGCUAGUUGGUGGGGUAAAGGCCUACCAAGGCGACGAUCCGUAACUGGUCUGAGAGGAUGAUCAGUCACACUGGAACUGAGACACGGUCCAGACUCCUACGGGAGGCAGCAGUGGGGAAUAUUGGACAAUGGGCGAAAGCCUGAUCCAGCCAUGCCGCGUGUGUGAAGAAGGUCUUCGGAUUGUAAAGCACUUUAAGUUGGGAGGAAGGGCAGUAAGUUAAUACCUUGCUGUUUUGACGUUACCAACAGAAUAAGCACCGGCUAACUUCGUGCCAGCAGCCGCGGUAAUACGAAGGGUGCAAGCGUUAAUCGGAAUUACUGGGCGUAAAGCGCGCGUAGGUGGUUCAGCAAGUUGGAUGUGAAAUCCCCGGGCUCAACCUGGGAACUGCAUCCAAAACUACUGAGCUAGAGUACGGUAGAGGGUGGUGGAAUUUCCUGUGUAGCGGUGAAAUGCGUAGAUAUAGGAAGGAACACCAGUGGCGAAGGCGACCACCUGGACUGAUACUGACACUGAGGUGCGAAAGCGUGGGGAGCAAACAGGAUUAGAUACCCUGGUAGUCCACGCCGUAAACGAUGUCGACUAGCCGUUGGGAUCCUUGAGAUCUUAGUGGCGCAGCUAACGCGAUAAGUCGACCGCCUGGGGAGUACGGCCGCAAGGUUAAAACUCAAAUGAAUUGACGGGGGCCCGCACAAGCGGUGGAGCAUGUGGUUUAA
This 950-nucleotide ribosomal RNA is filed under the name Pseudomonas aeruginosa DK1. RNAcentral describes it as "bacterial SSU rRNA". It matches the Rfam family "Bacterial small subunit ribosomal RNA", at positions 1 to 949 of the family's 1533-position model. Lineage: Bacteria; Pseudomonadati; Pseudomonadota; Gammaproteobacteria; Pseudomonadales; Pseudomonadaceae. The record is from RNAcentral.